Long non-coding RNA from Phyllostomus discolor (pale spear-nosed bat), 862 nucleotides. RefSeq lists it as uncharacterized. NCBI's taxonomy places the organism in Eukaryota, Metazoa, Chordata, Mammalia, Chiroptera, Phyllostomidae. The transcript is spliced from 2 exons. The record is from RefSeq and is a predicted model, not a curated record.
GGCUGCCUUUGGCCCCUGGUCAUUGUCAACAAAUAAAUCUGACGAGCGCUGUUUUCCCAUUCCCAGAGUCAGGCCCGAUAGCCAAGGCCAAGCCAGCAGGAGGCUAGAAGCCAUAAACAGAGCCAUGGCAGGAUCAGUGCCAUCCUGUUUAACCCCAAGGCAGGGCUACUUUCUGCAACGGGAAAGAGUGGUAAGUAGCCCGUGGACUGAAUGCACCUUGCCCUCCAUCGUCCAGUGUGGACACCAAGCAGCCAAGGCCCAGGACCUCCCCCUCUGCCGUGCCUCCGCACCCCUGAUGCAGAGUGCCACUGCGGCCCUGGACAUCAGCCACCACAGGUAAAUGCAGGAAGGAAGCCCAGCACUCAAGCUCUGCGGGAGAGCCCUUCAGCUUUCCUAAGGGGCAAAGGGCCUUCGAGCGCUGCCCAGUGAAAAGACUGCCACCAAGCUUGAGUCUGAAAAGCCCUGGCCAGGAACUCAGUUUGCAUAAGACACAAACACAAAGACACCAAGAAUUCCUCGAUACCGCAAGAGUAUUUCCGGACCAGGGAAGACCAAACAACGAAGACAGGCGCCAGGGCCGGCCUUGCACUCACCUCCGCCCUUCACACCUGAGCCUGGAUUUAUCGCUAGCUGAUGGGUCUGGACCCUGGUGCGGCCCGGGGCUGCAGUUGAUUCGGGAGACAAGGAGUUCGUUUCCCCAGAGGAGCCGAGUGCCCAAGGCACGGGGCUGUCGCCGCCAGAAGACCGCCUUGGGGACGCCCUCCCGCCGUCGGGGAGACUGGCCGGCCUGGGCCGCCGUUGUGGGGAAGGGUUGGCCCUCGGCAGCUGAACCCGUCUUUUUAUUAAAGUUUAUGCCGUUUUG